CGCCUGUUUAACAAAAACAUUUCUUCUUUUAGAAGCAAGAGGUAAACCCUGUUCCAUGAUUUUUUUAAUAACCGCAAAAUUUAAUUGUGCAAAGGUAGCAUAAUAAUUUUCUUCUUAAUUGGAAGGUUGGAUGAAUGGGUAAACAAGACAUUAACUAUGUUUAUGUGAAUUUAAAAUUUUACAAAAAGGUAAAAAUGCCUUUUAUAUUUAAAGGGAAGACAAGACCCUGGGAACUUAUUAUAUUUUUAGAUAAUCUUUAAAAUAUUUUUAGCUGGGGCGGCAAGUAUUAAAAACAAAACUUAUAAAAACAUAUGUGUGGUUUUUUUAACAGUAAGUAAAAUAUGAAGAAAUUGAGUUACCCCAGGGAUAACAGCGUAAUAAUUCUAGAGAGCUCAUAUCUAAGGUAAUUGUUGCGACCUCGAUGUUGAAUUAAAUAUACCGU
This 442-nucleotide ribosomal RNA is filed under the name Anilocra clupei. RNAcentral's name for it is "partial 16S ribosomal RNA". It matches the Rfam family "Archaeal large subunit ribosomal RNA", at positions 1889 to 2619 of the family's 2987-position model. Lineage: Eukaryota; Metazoa; Arthropoda; Malacostraca; Isopoda; Cymothoidae. The record is from RNAcentral.